UACGAAGGGGGCUAGCGUUGUUCGGAAUCACUGGGCGUAAAGCGCACGUAGGCGGACUUAUAAGUCAGGGGUGAAAUCCCGGGGCUCAACCCCGGAACUGCCUUUGAUACUGGAAGUCUUGAGUCCGAGAGAGGUGGAGUGGAACUCCGAGUGUAGAGGUGAAAUUCGUAGAUAUUCGGAAGAACACCAGUGGCGAAGGCGGCUCACUGGCUCGGGUACUGACGCUGAGGUGCGAAAAGCGUGGGGGAGCAAACAGGGAUUAAGAUACCCGCGUAGUC
This 278-nucleotide ribosomal RNA is filed under the name uncultured bacterium. RNAcentral describes it as "partial 16S ribosomal RNA". It matches the Rfam family "Bacterial small subunit ribosomal RNA", at positions 524 to 795 of the family's 1533-position model. The record is from RNAcentral.